UCAGUCGGUCAGUCAGGCAUCACCUAAUUCAACAUGUAACAGUCAGGUCUUUUUCUGUGUGUGUUAUCAUUACCAUAUAAGACACCAUCCUCGAGAGUGAAUGAAGUAAGCAAGCACACUGACAUGAUACUACAGUGUUUAAUGUAGCUACACACACCACUGGAAUAGCAGAUGACUCUCCUCCUCUUUCACACUAACACCAACCACUUCUUCAACAUUUCUCCAUGAGCUUCAGGUCCAUAUAUAUAUUCUUAAACGUAUCUGGCUCCCUUACAACUGUUUCCCAAGGCCACAGAGAAGAUUAACCAGGUUUUCAUGGGUGUUUUUCCUGUUCACCGUGCAGAGGUUGGGUUAAAAUAUUACCAACAUCACAACAGUCCAUGAAAAUCCCAGUAACUUCUAUGAGAGGCUUUUGAAACUGGCCACAGAGAAGAUUAUCAGGGUUUUCAUGGGUGUUUUUCCCAUUCGAGGUGCAGAAGAUGAGUUAAAAUAUCACCAGCGUCACAAAACAGUCCAUGAAAAUCCCAGUAACUUCUAUGAGAGGCUUUUGAAACAGGCCACAGAGAAGAUUAACAGUGUUUUCAUGGGUGUUUUUCUCAUUCAAGGUGCAGAAGAUGGGUUAAACUAUCACUAUGAUCACAAAACAGUCCAUGAAAACCCAGCAACUUCCACAAGGGGCCUUUAAAGCGAGCAAGGUGGGAUGCCGAUAAGUUUAAAAAUACGGACAUAGUUAGACUCAGCUAUGAAAUCAGUUUGGAUGGGGUCCGUUUGAGGAGUCCCCUGACCAUAGCACUACCAUAUCUUACUUAAUGUAUACAGAAUAUUUGAUUAAGUAGCUGAUAUAAGAAAGAGAGAGAGUGAUGUUUUGAGAGUGAUUUUCAGGCCAUAGCACUAUCAGGUCUUACUUAAUGUAUACCAAAUAUUUGAUACAUGAUUUCACAUAGUAAGUAGCUGAUUUAAGAGAGAGAGAGUGAUGAUUCGAGGGUGAUUUUCAGGCCCCAUCCAAACUGAUUUCACAUUUGCGUCAUGCUAUAGCAAGAUCACUUUUGUACACUAUUCCAUCACUAAUUUUAAGACACAGUGGUUGGAUUCUGUCAGGAUAAGCAGUUUAUUUCCACCUUUCUCUUACAUAACAACUCGUACAUUCCGUCUUAAUAUUCUUCCUCAACCCAAACUGACCAUAGCGAGAUUAUUUUUGUACACUGUUCCAUCACUAAUUUUAAGACACAGCACUUGGUUUCUUGUCAGGCUAAGCAGUUUAUUUCCACCUUUCUCUUACAUAACAACUCGUACAGUCCGUCUUAAUAUUCUUCCUCAACCCAAACUGACCAUAACGAGAUUAUUUUUGUACAAAGUUCCAUCAUUGCUUUAAGACACAGCACACCUUUCUCUUAUAAAACAACACAUUCCAUCUAUAUAUUUCUCCUCUAUUUGUUGAUUUUGCACAGAACAUACCAUUUCUGACCUUUACUAAUACCAGUUUAUGAUCACCUUUCUCUUAUAAAACAAUAUAGACAUUCUAUCUAAAUAUUUCUCCUCAUUUUAUUAAGAUUUUGUACAGCACAUGCUUUUAACAACUGCUCACAACAUCAGUUCAAUACCAUCUUCCUCUUGCAUAUAUAAAUCAAAACAUUCCAUCUAAAUACUUCUCUGUAGUUUACCAAGAUUCUGCACAACACAUGCCCUUUACCAAUUGCUUACAACAUCAGUUCAAUACCAUCUUCCUCUUACGUAUAUAAAACUAAACAUAUCCACUCUAAAUAUUCCUCAAUUAUUUACCAAGAUUCUGUACAUCACACACCUUUUUACCAACUGCUAACAAUACCAGUUUAAUACCACCUUCCUCUUAUAUAAAACAACACAUCCACUCUAAAUAUUUCUCCAUAAUUCAUCAAGAUUUUGUACAACACACGCCUUUGCCAACUACUUACAACACGCACCACCUUUCUUUCUCUUAUAAAACAACGCCUUCCAUCUAAAUAUUCCUCAAUUUACCAAGAUUCUGUACAACACACCCCAUUGCCGACAGCUUACAACACAUCCACGUACGUUAAGUUUGCUAUAAAAUCAAUAGAAAUGCUAUACAAAUAUAUAUAUAUAAUUUACCUUGCCCUAGACGGUAUGAUACAAUAUUAUACUGUAGUGAAAAUACUCUUGAUACAACGGGUCAUAAUUCAGAUACAUGGAACUGAUAUAUUACUGAUGGCAACCUUUACGAUUUAGUUGGUUUAUUUGCACACACCAACACGACAGUCACCAUUUAUACUCAUUCAGAUAUUAUACAUUUUAAAACAAUUUCUUACAAGCUAGAUCAAAGGUGGUAAGGUUGACAUUCUGUGACGGUACCAAACUCUCACACUAUUUCUAAAGGCCAAAUGAGAGGUCAACUGUAUCUUCAAGAGUGUUUUUCUGAGUUCGUGGUACAGAAGCCUUGUCACACUCCCACCAGGGUCAGAAAACUACCCCUGGAAAGACCCAUGACUCCUGUGAAAGCCAUGUCAAAUGUGUGAGCUUGCACUUUGAAAUGUUUAACCCAGUAGCAGCGACGGGCCAAAUUUGUGGCUUUACCGUGUAGCAGUGACGGGCCAAAUUUGUGGCUUUACCGUGUAGCAGAGACGGGCCAAAUUUGUGGCUUUACCAUGUAGCAGUGACGGGCCAAAUUUGUGGCUUUACCAUGUAGCAGCGACGGGCCAAAUUUGUGCCAUGAUAUAAACCCCCCAAAAUAGAUGAUGCAUAAACUGAUCACAAGUGCUUUGAUAUAUAUUAUGAAAUGGUUUGUGUAAGUGAUGAUUUUUUCUAAUUUUUCUCGCUUAGAGGGACCAUUAAGAAACAUGAUCCCCGCUGCUACCACGUUAAUGAUAUGGCCCUGAUGAAACUUCAAAAUGAGAUACGAUUUCAAGCUGAGUAUAAAAGGUAACUGUCCUGGUGUUUAUGAACGGAAGAACACACCUUAGUAAUCUUGAGCACCUGUAUUUAUUUAUAUGAACACCUCCAAAAGAUCUUUCUAUCAUCUAUGUUGUAACUGAUUCUCCCUUACAUUGCCUAUCCUGUAACCAUCUAACCUUCCAUUCCCCCAUCUAUUCUCUAUACAGUAACCUUCUGUUCUCCCUAUUCCCUUGAGGUGGAAUAACUCGCAAUAUAUAAAAAUACUAAAUCUACCUUAUCAAGUAUGAAUGUUUGUGCUGAGCCAUUGCUGUGCACAGACUAACGGGUGAGACAGAGGGAGGAAGAUGCAAUGGUAGAUAACAGCUGGUAUAGAGAUGUCACCUUAUGAAAGAACUACUGAGCCUUCUUUUACCAUGUGUGGUGAGCUGUUACAAUUAGGAAAGACAGUAACAAAAUAACAAUUGAGAUAGAAGGAGGAAAAUACGAGGGAGGAUAACU
Long non-coding RNA from Eriocheir sinensis (Chinese mitten crab), 3384 nucleotides. RefSeq lists it as uncharacterized. The record is from RefSeq and is a predicted model, not a curated record. Lineage: Eukaryota; Metazoa; Arthropoda; Malacostraca; Decapoda; Varunidae. The transcript has 2 exons.